CGGGGUGUAGCUCAGCCUGGUAGAGUGCGUCGUUCGGGACGACGAAGUCGGAAGUUCGAAUCUUCUCACCCCGACCA
This 77-nucleotide transfer RNA is filed under the name Woeseia sp. RNAcentral describes it as "tRNA-Pro". It matches the Rfam family "tRNA". Rfam says of the family: Transfer RNA (tRNA) molecules are approximately 80 nucleotides in length. Their secondary structure includes four short double-helical elements and three loops (D, anti-codon, and T loops). RNAcentral also lists the same sequence under 2 other names. The record is from RNAcentral. Lineage: Bacteria; Pseudomonadati; Pseudomonadota; Gammaproteobacteria; Woeseiales; Woeseiaceae.